GUUCAUGUAUGUUUAGUUACAUGUAUAAUACAUGGAGAUAAUUAAAAUACGAAAGCAAACCCUAGCUACAAAAAUGAGGGUGGGCAGGGACAAGUUUUCCUGUUAUGGGGGCCUAAAACAAUAGUUGCUAUUCCUCAUUAUCCUUGGGCAUUAAUGCCCGGUGGGACCAAAUACUCACCGAACCCCAAGAAAAGAUGACAUAACUCAACCUUCCCUUAGCUAACUUUAAUCUUUC
Molecule: unclassified non-coding RNA, 235 nt
Filed under: Hevea brasiliensis (rubber tree)
Lineage: Eukaryota; Viridiplantae; Streptophyta; Magnoliopsida; Malpighiales; Euphorbiaceae
Source: RNAcentral